CGGGGCUCGGGGAAGGUGCUGGCCCUGGAGGUGGAGUGGACUGUCAAGGCGAUGCUAUGAAAGGCUGAGGGGAGAAGUGAACAAGAGGCCCAGAGCUUGUUGAAGGGCAGUGUGUACAUCACAAUUAAUUCAGGAGUCUUUCGAAAACAAAGGCUCUCUAUCGCUUUCAACAUGUUUAUACAAUAGUGGACAGAAAGAGCAGCCGAAGUGUCAUCUCAAUCGCCCCCUCCCUAUCUGUUGUCUUUGCCUUCCCACACAUUCAGCCCACCUUCAGCACUGUCUCCUCUUCAGACCCUUUCUUGCUACAAAUUCUUUUUCUUUUAACCGUGCCACAGACUGUGCUGUCCACAGACUUCCCAAGGUUCCAUUGUGAGGCAUCCAUGGCUGUGAUGCCCCACAUGCUCCCACUUGGAGAUACUCAGCACAGGGAAGCUCAUGGCAACAGGAGUCCUAAUACAGCAGCCAUGCUUUAGGAAGGUACUGCUGGCAAAGGGAAAAGUCCACCCUAGCUCAGCCCUCUUUCCCCUGGACUUGAACAACAUCAGAUUUAAGCCUUAGCAGAGGCCACUGUAUUACAUGUACAAAAGCAGGUUCUAUAAAAAGAGAGAAGACCACCAUUUCCUUCGAGUCGUAUAGGAAUCCCCAGGUUAAAGUGGCUGCACCAGGACCAUAUUGUCUUCUCCAUCUAAAGAGCAAGCCAGCUGAGAUGUACCAGGCUUCGCUUGCCUAGCAAAGGGACAGAGAGGUAAAGAGAGCUGUAUAAGACCUCAGGAACAGUGAUGGGAUCAGUGAAAGAGGCAGGGAAGGUCACACAUGAAGACCAAGGCAUGUGGCUUGGGUCAUGAAUUCCUCCCCAGCCGUUCCCACUUGACUCCCCACGCAAACACAAAGUUGAUGGCCAACAGCUUUCUCCACCUCAUGGUUUCCAUCACAAACCGGCCUGGAAAGAGGGCAUCUCAGUGCACAGCUACACCUCUCUGUAAUGCUUUCUCUUUCCCUUCACUUUGGAAUAUGCACCCUAGCAGACCCCAAGACCUUACAUCCUUGCAGUGAGCAUGCACUGGUCUCACUCAGCCAACACAUACCAGUUAAACCAGGCUGACAUACAGGCUUUUGUCCUGAUGCCAACACAGAACAAACCACACAACUUGAUUUAGCUGGAUGUGUUAGCAAGAUCAAGGAUUCAUCAGCUCCCAGACCCUCCCUUGUGGUGCUCACAGCCCUCACAGCAGUGUGGUGCCCCUCCCUGGCUCUCCAAGCACUCCAAAAACCUGGCAGAAGUCAAAGCCCCUCACAGGCUCUGGUGCUGCUUCCAAGGGCAAGGGCUUCCAGCUGGGGCUGCUUUCUCACCUGUACUCCCUCUGAGCCCCAGAGGCCUGUAUUGCACCCCAGGACCCUGAGAACGACUGCAAAGAGCCAGGAGGCCUCACGUGAAAACCCAACAACCCUGGUGAGAAUGUAAUUGCCUUCAAAGCCAGCAGUGCCGGCGUGAGAGGCUGCCUUUAAGUACAGCCAUUCCAUAAUCGCGUGCUUCACCCAGGUGCACAGCAUCUUUUGCAAAGGCCCAAGGGACUGAAACAGCUCUAGCAAGGCCUUAAGAGAAGGGAAAUUGCUAUCAGAGACUCCUGUCGACUCCACAGCCCACCAAGGAGGCUGCUGGCUUCUACAGGCCAUCCCCCAUCUGUUGGAAUAGCAGGAAGUUUUACGUUAGCAAUAAAAAAUAAAAAAUGCUGGAGUCCAACUGGUGACUGAAGUCUGGUGCCAGGCUCUGCUGCAGAGACAUCACAGCUGCUUACAGUGCCUGCUCUGAAAGAGGUACUCAUUAAACAUUUGCCUUGGGUUUGUUUUCCCUGUUUGCUAAAAGCAAACAUUCACAACAAAAAUCUAAAAGGGAGGACUGCAAAUCAAAAGUUUGAUUUAAUAAAAAACAAAUAGCACCACCCAUCUAACUCUGAGCUCUUCUUCCUUUGCCUUCUGCUUUUAGCCUUUAGGGGUUAUUUUUGAAAAGCUUAAGGCUGUGUGGACUAGAAGUGAUUUUUAUUUUCUAAUUGAGAAUCCUAGAUUUUCAACUAAGAGAUCAGGCUUUUUGAGAAGACCCCAAGUAACCAGUAUACUCUUUAGAGCUGGAAGAAGGUGUUUCAUAUCACAGAACUACCUCAAGAUGCAGAAAAGACUUUCCUAAGCUAGGUAUUUUUGGCGGAGUUCCUACCUUUUUGCCCAGCUAUGGAGAUGCUUUCAAUAGCUGCAGAUACCUUCCCUGCAUAAACCAUGAAUACUGGCAGAUCAAGGCUGAGGAGCUGGUCAACAAACUAGACUACUAAAACACAGAACACACAUCAAUGCCAGGUUGCUUAGAGGAAAGCACUCAUCAGUAGAAUUGAGACAGCAGAGCUGUGAACAGAAUUUAGAAGUACUAACAUCUCAAUGUUAGAAAUGCAUAAGUUCUCCAACAGGAGUGGGAAGCCCACAGCCAGUAAGCCAGGCAGCACCCACCACUUUGCAUCAUAUGGCCCAAUAGCACAUGAGCUAAUACUAAUAUUAGUACCAUCCAGCUACAUCUGAAGCAGUUUGAAAAGUUUAUUUAGCAGGUUCCACACAUUACCCUGAAGCCUGGUGAGCUCUGGCUGGUUGCAAGCCCAUCUACUGUCAUACUAAGGGCUGAGCCUUCAGAUAUCCCACUGUCCCACUUUCAGGAAGCUAGUGCUCCCCAGGCACCACUGCUUUUCUUGCACCCCAUACCUCCUUCUGCUGUGUAGCAUCCAUGGAGCAUGACAUUACCUGCCUGCAGCUCUCCUGGUGGCACCCCUGCACCUGGAGGCCUGCCUGUCUUUGGGCCCACCCUUCUCAGCAUGGCCAGCACCAAGACGAUCUCCUCCAGCUCUUGGGCACCUGGGGGGAAGCUGGUUUCCUUGUGGAGCUGCACUGUGAGGCACUGACACGAAUCGAUCCAUAAGCCACCCUGAUGUUCUCUGCUUCUGAUUGCUACAUUUUUUGUGACAAAUUGAUAAACUGCAUCUCCACUCAGUUAAAGAUUUGAUCUCGCUCUCUUAAUCCGCUAUCAAUAAGAUAUUAAUCGCGCACCCGACCCGUUCUGUUCCCCGUCUGCCUGCAAAUCCAAUAAUCAUUUCAGAAUUCACAGCUGAGUGGGGCACUCCCUUCAAACAAUUAAUUAUAGGGGAGUCUCAUUUAUUUUCCCUGUAACUCUCUUCCCCCCCACAUCCCUCCCCUGCCUGCCUGUCUGUCUCCUUCUUCCACCCCCUCCUUCCCUAGAUGAAAUUCAUGCUCAGCAGAGACAGAAGGUGGGAUUGCAACUUAGACUGGGAGCUGAAGAGGUCCUGUUGAACUCCCUUCCAUUUGCUGUUCCACACAACAGAUUUAACCCCACUUGCCCAGCCCCCAGAUUUCUCUGAAAGUGGAGGCCAAAUUCACCCCAAAGCUAAAACUCUGAAGAAUCCCCAGAAAUGCAUAGUCCCUCCAACACCAACCCUGGCAUUUGUCCUGCCAGUGAAUUGGGAUUUUUACCUCUGGCCAACCAGGACAGGGUUUAUUCAUGCCCAGAGCCACAUGCCUCAGGACAGCUCAGGUGAAGGAUAGUUGGAUGAGAAAUCUCUGUGUGGGCCAUGAGAAUGGAUGAACUGAUGACAACUGAGCUUUAUCCACAUAUUGCUUUGACAUCUUCUCCUAACAGCCCACACUGCUACCUGAGUGCAUCUUGAUUUGGACUUUAGAGCUUUCACUUUCUGUCCCUGGUCCAGAAGAGAACCAAGCUUCCUGGCCAGCUGUGCUCUCAGGCAAGGUCUCACUGCACCAUUCCUUCCCUGUCCAGCCUCUUAUAGCAUUGCAUCUCAACAGCCAGCCCAUUUCAGGUGAUGCUGUUAGGUACAUUAGUCUUUCAAUAAUUUCUAGCCACAGCGUUCAUAUGAAGGGCAGAUACACAAAUUAGCUUGUGCCUCAAACUUGCUACCUUAAGUGCUGGAGACCAAGAACACGGCCCAUGGGAAGGUAAAAGGUUGCAAAGAGCACCACAGAACAUGCUAAGUCCUUCAUUGUCCAUGUAACAAAUACUAAGGAAAAAGCUCAAGUUAGUGUCCCUCACUGUCAAAGGACUCCCUCCUGAUGUGCUUCUUUUGCUUCAUACUCCUUAUUAUCCUUCCCAUUUACCUCAAAACCCACAGGAGACAGAAGCACUCUGACCAGAGAUGAGAAGGGCUGAGAGAGUGGAGCUGUCACUAGCAAUAGCUGCCGUAGGCACUGGCAGGAAGGCCAGAGGAAAGAGUGUCUCUGCUCUUGUAUGGGGACAGGAGCAGGGCUCUGACAAGCUCUUUAAGCUCCCCAGGCUCCAGAAAAUGCUGCGCAAAGUGUUUUAGCAACAAAAGUCUUGAGAAGAACAAACACUCUAAUCCCUUAAUGAGCUGGCUGAUCCCCCAUCUUGGCUCUGGCUUCUCUAAAGAGACACACGCUCCCCUCCUCCCUGGCCCCCAGCCCCCUUCGGAGCAACCCGCUGCGGCCUCCUCAGAACUGAUUCAAGGUGCUCUUCGGGAUCCAAUCCAAUUACCCUGUGUCCUGCUGAGCGGCCCCACAGACAGACUGGCUCUUUCAGGGCAGAGUCUUAUGGCCUGUUAAUCCUCCCCUCAUUAAAAGACCUUGUUCCUCCCUCCUCAGAGAUGAAAAAAAAAAAACAACACAAAAAAACCCUCAACCCCACACUGGGAAAAGUUUACGCAAGAGAGCCCCAAAGUGGAGUGUGAAAGCUGGCCUGCAAGCUGUGGCCUCUGCCCGCUCUCAGGGGUCACCUCUACGUAACUUAGGAGUAUCUUUGUCUCCUCCUGCCCUCAGACCUGGCUCACGCAUGAAGAAGAUGGGCAGGAAACCGUCCCUCGCGCUGUUCUUCCACCGUGGCUUUAUUGGCUUCUCUUUAAUGGGCCUGUCAUUAAGCCAGGAGGAAGGGUGGGUGGGAGGGUUCCCAUAAAACUAAGGCCUCACAGCUAAUGAACGCAGCACCUGGGGGGAAAGGACACAGGAGCAGCAGUUGUAGUUGGUCACACAGGGCUGAGCUGGCUAUUGGCAGCCUCACAAGGACAAGGUUCCUCCUCAGAGAGGGAGGAGAGGAAAUGUCAGAGCAGCCCCCUCUGCCAUCCACCCCUCUGGUACCACACAUGCAGGAGGGACUGAGAUCUCUAUCCAGAGGGUGGCUGUUCCCACACCUGGGAGUUCUUCUCAGUACUUAGCUGGAUGGAUGAGCCAGAGAUCAGUCAACUGCAACCACCUCCUAACAAACGUGUAAUGAUGCCGUGAUUUUGCUCCUCUCUCUUCUGCUUCCUUCUGUUGGGCGAUGCAGUCACAAACCCCGGUGUUUUCCCUCCAGCUGCAUGUGCUAUCUGAAGUCUGACCAGCUCAGGUUAAAUCCACCAGUCUGAUUGUAGGUACUGCUACUGGUACCAGUACUCAUUAGCCCAUCGAUGGAGUGUAAUGAAGAGAAGGACCACUCCUCUUCUGAGGGAAGAUCCACUUACGUACAAGCCAGUCACUCUCUCAAGCAGGUGUCUUUAACUCAGCCUAUUACACAUGGCAAUAAGGAAGUAUGGUAAUGCUAAGAAAAUACUUCAUAGUCACGUUUUCCAAAGUAAAUUAUAAUUCUGAUUGUUA
Corapipo altera (White-ruffed manakin) is the source of this 5646-nucleotide long non-coding RNA. RefSeq lists it as uncharacterized. The transcript is spliced from 2 exons. The record is from RefSeq and is a predicted model, not a curated record. NCBI's taxonomy places the organism in Eukaryota, Metazoa, Chordata, Aves, Passeriformes, Pipridae.